GAUGAACGCUGGCGGCGUGCUUAACACAUGCAAGUCGAACGGAGUGCCUUAGAAAGAGGAUUCGUCCAAUUGAUAAGGUUACUUAGUGGCGGACGGGUGAGUAACGCGUGAGGAACCUGCCUCGGAGUGGGGAAUAACAGACCGAAAGGCCUGCUAAUACCGCAUAAUGCAGUUGGACCGCAUGGUCCUGACUGCCAAAGAUUUAUCGCUCUGAGAUGGCCUCGCGUCUGAUUAGCUUGUUGGCGGGGUAAUGGCCCACCAAGGCGACGAUCAGUAGCCGGACUGAGAGGUUGGCCGGCCACAUUGGGACUGAGACACGGCCCAGACUCCUACGGGAGGCAGCAGUGGGGAAUAUUGGGCAAUGGGCGCAAGCCUGACCCAGCAACGCCGCGUGAAGGAAGAAGGCUUUCGGGUUGUAAACUUCUUUUCUCAGGGACGAACAAAUGACGGUAC
Molecule: ribosomal RNA, 453 nt
Filed under: uncultured bacterium
Lineage: Bacteria
Description: bacterial SSU rRNA
Rfam family: Bacterial small subunit ribosomal RNA
Source: RNAcentral